UACAGGGGGUGCAAACGUUGCUCGGAAUUAUUGGGCGUAAAGCGCACGUAGGCGGUUUGUUAUGUCGGAUGUGAAAGCCCUCGGCUUAACUGAGGAAGUGCAUCCAAAACUGUGCAGCUAGAGUACUAAAGAGGGUCGCGGAAUUCCCGGUGUAGAGGUGAAAUUCGUAGAUAUCGGGAGGAACACCGGUGGCGAAGGCGGCGACCUGGGUAGAUACUGACGCUGAGGCGCGAAAGCGUGGGGAGCAAACAGG
RNAcentral lists this ribosomal RNA (253 nucleotides) under uncultured bacterium. RNAcentral's name for it is "partial 16S ribosomal RNA". It matches the Rfam family "Bacterial small subunit ribosomal RNA", at positions 524 to 776 of the family's 1533-position model. The record is from RNAcentral.